Molecule: unclassified non-coding RNA, 356 nt
Filed under: soil metagenome
Description: partial contains 5.8S ribosomal RNA, internal transcribed spacer 2, and large subunit ribosomal RNA
Rfam family: 5.8S ribosomal RNA (bases 1-120)
Source: RNAcentral
GAUGAAGAACGUAGUGAAAUGCGAUAAGUAAUGUGAAUUGCAGAAUUCAGUGAAUCAUCGAAUCUUUGAACGCACAUUGCGCCCAUUAGUAUUCUAGUGGGCAUGCCUGUUCGAGCGUCAUUAAGUCCACUUAAGCCCAGCUUAGUGUUGGGAGACUGCUCCAGCGGUGCUACCCUGUAGCUACCCUGCAGCUCCUCAAAGACAGCGGCGGAGUUGUGGUAUCCUCUGAGCUUAGUAACUUGUUCUAGCUUUCGAGUACACCACUUCCCCUGCCGUAAAAACCCUUAAUUUUUAAUGGUUGACCUCGGAUCAGGUAGGAAUACCCGCUGAACUUAAGCAUAUCAAUAAGCGGAGGA